AUGAAUGAAAGUGCACAUUCCGACGAAAUUUCCCGAUUUUUUCAGCCUUUGGAAGGAGAGCCUAGGGUUUGGGACGUCUCAGACAGACAGACAGGCAAACCACGUCUCCGGAGGCAGACAGACUCACAACAUGAGUGUGAGCCUAAAAUCAAAUACAGGUUCAACAUUCCCGAGGCCUCUCUGCGGGGCCGGGCGGGCGCCGAUCUCCCUACCUUCUCUCCCCUCCAGGGCGCUGGGCAGAGACCCGGAAGACUCGGUCCCUCUGGCUUGGUCCAAUCCCGCCUCGGGAAGCGCCUUCGUUACCUGCUCCUCGGCUCCCCACGGCCACAGAUGCAGGGCAGCCGCCUCCCGCCGGGGGAGGGAAGCCCCGGCCACCGCAGCCGCCGCUGCCCGCCCUCCUUUCCUCCCUCCCUCCCUCUUUCUCGCCCUCCCUCCCUCUCUCCCUCCCUCGCGCGCUGCCGCUCGCGGGGCCCUCCCGCGGGCAACCUGUUCUGGACCAAAUCCAGGUAUCUCCGAAAGAGAGAGAGAGAGAGAGAAAGGACCUCUUAUGUGGAAAAGAAAGAAAAAAAGACCCUUAACCGCGUUUAUUUUCCAUGCUCUGACCACUGGUCGGCCUCUGUGCAGAUGCCCUGGACCCGGCCCGGCAAGCGGCAGAGGUGUGCUGGGCCUGCUGCCUCGCCCACGCGGACCGCCGCGCCCCGCGCACUGCUUGCUCCACACUCUGGGCCGCCGCCCCCCCGGCAGCCCAAACACCACACAGACCUCAAGGUCCUUCCUACAGACUCAACAUCCGGUUGCCCGCCUCGCGGCUGGCCUCCGCCCCGGAGCCCGCUCUGCUCCGUCUGCGGCCAAAGUCCACACAUAGUCCACCUUGUCCGAGCCCUCGCGCCGGGUCGGACACCCCUCCUAGCCAAGGCGCCCGCCGGGCCACCCUCGGGCCGCGACCCUGCCGCGGACUGCAAACCUCCUCCCCUGCACGGGACCCACACAAAGCCCAGUGCCCACCCGCAGCCCCCCGUACCCCGCCGCUGCUGCCCUUCACCUGUUCCCGAGAAAGGCUGCCUCUCUGAGCCGAGGCAAGGCCGUGGGCCCGGGCGGAGGGUGCCUGGAAGCCGGGGAGUCGAGGUCCCGGGGAGGCCACAGAGGAUCGGCCGGGCUAAGCCGGAGCCCCCGCAGCCCGCGAGUUAUCUCAGAGACCAAGGCUCUCCUUGGCGAGCUCUUGCCUUUUCCUCCGUCUCCCGCAAGUCUUAA
This 1251-nucleotide long non-coding RNA is filed under the name Zalophus californianus (California sea lion). Its description in RNAcentral is "lncRNA (ENSZCAG00015011739.1)". The record is from RNAcentral. Lineage: Eukaryota; Metazoa; Chordata; Mammalia; Carnivora; Otariidae.